This 2893-nucleotide ribosomal RNA is filed under the name Escherichia coli. RNAcentral describes it as "23S ribosomal RNA". It matches the Rfam family "Bacterial large subunit ribosomal RNA". The record is from RNAcentral. Lineage: Bacteria; Pseudomonadati; Pseudomonadota; Gammaproteobacteria; Enterobacterales; Enterobacteriaceae.
GGGUUGUGAGGUUAAGCGACUAAGCGUACACGGUGGAUGCCCUGGCAGUCAGAGGCGAUGAAGGACGUGCUAAUCUGCGAUAAGCGUCGGUGAGGUGAUAUGAACCGUUAUAACCGGCGAUUUCCGAAUGGGGAAACCCAGUGUGUUUCGACACUAUCAUUAACUGAAUCCAUAGGUUAAUGAGGCGAACCGGGAACUGAAACAUCUAAGUACCCCGAGGAAAAUCAACCGAGAUUCCCCAGUAGCGGCGAGCGAACGGGGAGGAGCCCAGAGCCUGAAUCAGUGUGUGUGUUAGUGGAAGCGUCUGGAAAGGCGCGCGAUACAGGGUGACAGCCCCGUACACAAAAAUGCACAUAUUGUGAGCUCGAUGAGUAGGGCGGGACACGUGGUAUCCUGUCUGAAUAUGGGGGGACCAUCCUCCAAGGCUAAAUACUCCUGACUGACCGAUAGUGAACCAGUACCGUGAGGGAAAGGCGAAAAGAACCCCGGCGAGGGGAGUGAAAAAGAACCUGAAACCGUGUACGUACAAGCAGUGGGAGCCUCUUAAUGGGGUGACUGCGUACCUUUUGUAUAAUGGGUCAGCGACUUAUAUUCUGUAGCAAGGUUAACCGAAUAGGGGAGCCGAAGGGAAACCGAGUCUUAACUGGGCGUUAAGUUGCAGGGUAUAGACCCGAAACCCGGUGAUCUAGCCAUGGGCAGGUUGAAGGUUGGGUAACACUAACUGGAGGACCGAACCGACUAAUGUUGAAAAAUUAGCGGAUGACUUGUGGCUGGGGGUGAAAGGCCAAUCAAACCGGGAGAUAGCUGGUUCUCCCCGAAAGCUAUUUAGGUAGCGCCUCGUGAAUUCAUCUCCGGGGGUAGAGCACUGUUUCGGCAAGGGGGUCAUCCCGACUUACCAACCCGAUGCAAACUGCGAAUACCGGAGAAUGUUAUCACGGAGACACGGCGGUGCUAACGUCCGUCGUGAAGACAACAGACCGCCAGCUAAGGUCCCAAAGUCAUGGUUAAGUGGGAAACGAUGUGGGAAGGCCCAGACAGCCAGGAUGUUGGCUUAGAAGCAGCCAUCAUUUAAAGAAAGCGUAAUAGCUCACUGGUCGAGUCGGCCUGCGCGGAAGAUGUAACGGGGCUAAACCAUGCACCGAAGCUGCGGCAGCGACACUAUGUGUUGUUGGGUAGGGGUUCUGUAAGCCUGUGAAGGUGGCCUGUGAGGGUUGCUGGAGGUAUCAGAAGUGCGAAUGCUGACAUAAGUAACGAUAAAGCGGGUGAAAAGCCCGCUCGCCGGAAGACCAAGGGUUCCUGUCCAACGUUAAUCGGGGCAGGUGAGUCGACCCUAAGGCGAGGCCGAAAGGCGUAGUCGAUGGGAAACAGGUUAAUAUUCCUGUACUUGGUGUUACUGCGAAGGGGACGGAGAAGGCUAUGUUGGCCGGGCGACGGUUGUCCCGGUUUAAGCGUGUAGGCUGGUUUUCGUGCAAAUCCGGAAAAUCAAGGCUGAGGCGUGAUGACGAGGCACUACGGUGCUGAAGCGACAAAUGCCCUGCUUCCAGGAAAAGCCUCUAAGCAUCAGGUAACAUCAAAUCGUACCCCAAACCGACACAGGUGGUCAGGUAGAGAAUACCAAGGCGCUUGAGAGAACUCGGGUGAAGGAACUAGGCAAAAUGGUGCCGUAACUUCGGGAGAAGGCACGCUGAUAUGUAGGUGAAGCGACUUGCUCGUGGAGCUGAAAUCAGUCGAAGAUACCAGCUGGCUGCAACUGUUUAUUAAAAACACAGCACUGUGCAAACACGAAAGUGGACGUAUACGGUGUGACGCCUGCCCGGUGCCGGAAGGUUAAUUGAUGGGGUUAGCGGUAACGCGAAGCUCUUGAUCGAAGCCCCGGUAAACGGCGGCCGUAACUAUAACGGUCCUAAGGUAGCGAAAUUCCUUGUCGGGUAAGUUCCGACCUGCACGAAUGGCGUAAUGAUGGCCAGGCUGUCUCCACCCGAGACUCAGUGAAAUUGAACUCGCUGUGAAGAUGCAGUGUACCCGCGGCAAGACGGAAAGACCCCGUGAACCUUUACUAUAGCUUGACACUGAACAUUGAGCCUUGAUGUAGGAUAGGUGGGAGGCUUUGAAGUGUGGACGCCAGUCUGCAUGGAGCCGACCUUGAAAUACCACCCUUUAAUGUUUGAUGUUCUAACGUGGGCCCCUUACCGGGGUUGCGGACAGUGUCUGGUGGGUAGUUUGACUGGGGCGGUCUCCUCCUAAAGAGUAACGGAGGAGCACGAAGGUUGGCUAAUCCUGGUCGGACAUCAGGAGGUUAGUGCAAUGGCAUAAGCCAGCUUGACUGCGAGCGUGACGGCGCGAGCAGGUGCGAAAGCAGGUCAUAGUGAUCCGGUGGUUCUGAAUGGAAGGGCCAUCGCUCAACGGAUAAAAGGUACUCCGGGGAUAACAGGCUGAUACCGCCCAAGAGUUCAUAUCGACGGCGGUGUUUGGCACCUCGAUGUCGGCUCAUCACAUCCUCGGGCUGAAGUAGGUCCCAAGGGUAUGGCUGUUCGCCAUUUAAAGUGGUACGCGAGCUGGGUUUAGAACGUCGUGAGACAGUUCGGUCCCUAUCUGCCGUGGGCGCUGGAGAACUGAGGGGGGCUGCUCCUAGUACGAGAGGACCGGAGUGGACGCAUCACUGGUGUUCGGGUUGUCAUGCCAAUGGCACUGCCCGGUAGCUAAAUGCGGAAGAGAUAAGUGCUGAAAGCAUCUAAGCACGAAACUUGCCCCGAGAUGAGUUCUCCCUGACUCCUUGAGAGUCCUGAAGGAACGUUGAAGACGACGACGUUGAUAGGCCGGGUGUGUAAGCGCAGCGAUGCGUUGAGCUAACCGGUACUAAUGAACCGUGAGGCUUAACCUUACAACGCCGAAG